AUUGGAGAACAGCAAAGAAAUGUUCAAGCUGGAAGUCAGCUGGAAGAUGCAGCAAAUAUUUGAGGAGUCAUCCAUUCCUAGGGGAGAUUCACGAAAUCACUCCAGGACACUGUGUCAGAAGAGCAAAGGAGCAUUAGAUGUGAAAACGCUCCCCGGAGCUGCAGAGCCCUAUAAAGGUGAGAAAAUGGAGGAUCAAAGAUGACAAGUAACUUGUCAAAGGUAACAUAACAAGGAAGUGGCAGAGCCAGGAUUCUACAAAGGGGUAUGUGACCCCACAGCCUGCACUCUCCAAUUCACUAGAAUACUUCCUCUCAAGAGCUCUGGGAGAAGUGUCAUUGGAGAUGAAGAGAUUA
This is a long non-coding RNA of Myotis davidii, 353 nucleotides long. RefSeq lists it as uncharacterized. The transcript is spliced from 3 exons. Lineage: Eukaryota; Metazoa; Chordata; Mammalia; Chiroptera; Vespertilionidae. The record is from RefSeq and is a predicted model, not a curated record.